This 972-nucleotide ribosomal RNA is filed under the name uncultured Methanomicrobiales archaeon. RNAcentral's name for it is "bacterial SSU rRNA". It matches the Rfam family "Archaeal small subunit ribosomal RNA", at positions 43 to 1024 of the family's 1478-position model. The record is from RNAcentral. Lineage: Archaea; Methanobacteriati; Methanobacteriota; Methanomicrobia; Methanomicrobiales.
UUUAAGCCCUAUGCGAGUCGAGAGGUGCAAGACCUCGGCGCACUGCUCAGUAACACGUGGACAACCUACCCUGUGGAGGGGGAUAACCCCGGAAAACUGGGGAUAAUACCCCAUAGGUUAGGGAGGCUGGAAUGCCCCCUAGCUCAAAGGUCCGCCGCCACAGGAUGGGUCUGCGGCCGAUUAGGUUGUUGUUGGGGUAACGGCCCAACAAGCCUUUGAUCGGUACGGGUUGUGGGAGCAAGAGCCCGGAGAUGGAUUCUGAGACACGAAUCCAGGCCCUACGGGGCGCAGCAGGCGCGAAAACUUUACAAUGCGAGAAAUCGUGAUAAGGGAACCCCGAGUGCCCGUAAAUUCGGGCUGUCCGCCAGUGCAAAAAACUGGUGAAGAAAGAGCCGGGCAAGACCGGUGCCAGCCGCCGCGGUAAUACCGGCGGCUCGAGUGGUGGCCACUAUUACUGGGCUUAAAGCGUCCGUAGCUUGGUUGUUAAGUCUCCUGGGAAAUCCAUCGGCUCAACCGAUGGGCGUUCAGGAGAUACUGGCAACCUAGGGACCGGGAGAGGUGAGAGGUACUCCAGGGGUAGGAGUGAAAUCCUGUAAUCCUUGGGGGACCACCUGUGGCGAAGGCGUCUCACUAGAACGGCUCCGACAGUGAGGGACGAAAGCUGGGGGAGCAAACCGGAUUAGAUACCCGGGUAGUCCCAGCUGUAAACGAUGCGCGUUAGGUGUAUCGGUGACCACGAGUCACCGAGGUGCCGAAGAGAAAUCGUGAAACGUGCCGCCUGGGAAGUACGGUCGCAAGGCUGAAACUUAAAGGAAUUGGCGGGGGAGCACCACAACAGGUGGAGCCUGCGGUUUAAUCGGACUCAACGCCGGGAAGAUCACCGGAUAAGACAGCUGAAUGAUAGCCGGGUUGAAGACUCUGCUUGACUAGCUGAGAGGAGGUGCAUGGCCGUCGUCAGUCGUACUGAAGCCU